UACGGAGGGGGCUAGCGUUGUUCGGAAUUACUGGGCGUAAAGCGUACGUAGGCGGUUACUCAAGUCAGAGGUGAAAGCCCGGAGCUCAACUCCGGAAUUGCCUUUGAAACUAGGUAGCUUGAACGUCGGAGAGGUGAGUGGAAUUCCGAGUGUAGAGGUGAAAUUCGUAGAUAUUCGGAAGAACACCAGUGGCGAAGGCGGCUCACUGGACGACUGUUGACGCUGAGGUACGAAAGCGUGGGGAGCAAACAGG
RNAcentral lists this ribosomal RNA (253 nucleotides) under uncultured bacterium. RNAcentral describes it as "partial 16S ribosomal RNA". It matches the Rfam family "Bacterial small subunit ribosomal RNA", at positions 524 to 776 of the family's 1533-position model. The record is from RNAcentral.